GUGAGAAAGGGUGAAAGUAGAAGGAGUCCUGCACCGGGAGAGAGAGCGUGUGUGUGUGUGUGUAUGUGCAAAAGUGGCAGGCUGUUUCUCUCCUCACUCCUCUCUCUUUUUUCUCCUUCUUUUGUUCUCUGAAAUGGCUGAAUCUGUGAGAAGGUGGCUGAAGUGACUGAAUGCAGAAACAGGAUGAGGCUGACAAACUCAACUCAGAAAGUAAUAAAAAAAAAUAAGCAAGAGCUGAAGAAACAAUGAGAAGGUGUGGAGCUAAACAUAUGACUGUGGGUGUGCCCAAAAAGUGCAGAGGAAAAAAGGGAACACGGAGAGGCAACUUUGCUGGGAGGAAAGGAGAAAGAAGAUACCAGCACAGGGAUUCCCAGGAUUCAUAAAGCACAGACCAUAUCAGUCUUUAUGAUUUUUAUACAAAUUUCGCCAGCGGAAUCGGCCUAGUCCGCCCCCCGAGCCUAUCUCUGUGUGACGGCCGAGGGAAGACUGAAUGCUCCUUUUCGGACCGCACUGGUCAGUACCACGCAUGCCACCUCACGCCACCUUCCUCUGCCGCUUCUCUCUCUCUAUCAUGUUGUCUGUCGCUUUCUCUCUCUCUCUCUCUCUCUCUCUCUCUCUCUCUCUCUCUCUCUCAGUCCUCUGGCUUUUUGUGUGUUGGACUGAGCAUCCCAGGAGGCAGCGUGGCCUCCAUCGUCCAGAGAAGCGAGGGACUGGUCAAAGCCCACCUGUUCAGCAUUUACAAAGAAGGAACAAAGAAUGACAAGUCUAUAGUACGUUAAAUCUCCCGAGUCUUAUUAAAGGAGCCCCUUUUUUUCUUUUCAUGGCUGUGGAGUAACUCCAGUCAGCUUUUUUUUGGUUGAAUCGUCUGUGAAUUAGGAGAAGAAAUGGUCUAACUAUUUUAAAAAAUGUUUGCAUGACUUAAUCUUUGCUAUAGUCACUAAAAUCAUUUCGUUCUCUAAUCUCUUCGACUGUUCCAACGAUCUUCUUUCCCAGCUGUGAGCUCCGAAAAGGUUUCUUCUUGCAUUCGUUCUCUCUCUCUCUCUCUCUCUCUCUCUCUACUUAACCCCCCUCCAUCCAACCCUCUCCGUCAACGAAAGUCUUUUCAUAAUGAAUGGCAAGGUACGAUAAUAGCCUUGCGGUUUCCAUAGAAACCAGACAGUAGCCCUGUGUGUAUGGCAUACAUCCCCCCCCCUCCUUUUUUUUCUUCCCUCCUUUUUUUUUCUUCAAGGGGGCAAAUGAUAGUGGAAUGUGAGGCAAAACACCUCCCUCUCUCCUUCCUUCCCUCCUUCUUACUCCGUGUACUCAUUGCACUGUAUUCCCUUUUCCCCUUCAGCCUCUCAGAAUUUUUACUCAUUCCCUUUUCUUGUUUUGUUUCCUGUUUUUAUUUGGAUGUUCUGAAGUUGUCAUAAAAUAAAGUAUGAACUGAACUGACUUAAUAGAAUUGAAACGACCUCUUUACGUUCAAGGUAAAAAAAAAAAAAACCCAACCAAACAAACAAAAACGUGUCUGUGUUUUUCUUUCCAUGGAUUCUAUAGCAAAAUGUAAAA
Molecule: long non-coding RNA, 1548 nt
Organism: Hemibagrus wyckioides
Lineage: Eukaryota; Metazoa; Chordata; Actinopteri; Siluriformes; Bagridae
Exons: 4
Source: RefSeq, a predicted model, not a curated record